UGGGGAAUUUUCCGCAAUGGGCGAAAGCCUGACGGAGCAAUUCCGCGUGAGGGAGGAAGGCUUUUGGGUUGUAAACCUCUUUUCUCAAGGAAGAAGUUCUGACGGUACUUGAGGAAUCAGCAUCGGCUAACUCCGUGCCAGCAGCCGCGGUAAUACGGAGGAUGCAAGCGUUAUCCGGAAUCACUGGGCGUAAAGCGUCUGCAGGUGGUUUAAUAAGUCUGCUGUUAAAUAUUAGAGCUUAACUCUGAAAAAGCAGUGGAAACUGUUGAACUAGAGUAUGGUAUGGGUAGAGGGAAUUCCCAGUGUAGCGGUGAAAUGCGUAGAUAUUGGGAAGAACACCAGUGGCGAAAGCGCUCUGCUAGGCCAUUACUGACACUCAGAGACGAAAGCUAGGGGAGCAAAUGGGAUUAGAUACCCCGGUAGUCC
RNAcentral lists this ribosomal RNA (426 nucleotides) under uncultured prokaryote. Its description in RNAcentral is "bacterial SSU rRNA". It matches the Rfam family "Bacterial small subunit ribosomal RNA", at positions 355 to 796 of the family's 1533-position model. The record is from RNAcentral.